GAAAGCCGCAGGAGCAGGAAUGGACAACGGGGACGCUCUCCAUUCUUCUUCCCCUCCUCCUCCACACGUCCAAAAGCCUCGUCCUUCCCACUUCCUACCCAUCAUAUCUCCAUCCGCGGUUCCGCCCAGCUGCUCCACAUCUCAAUUCUCACCACACACACGCACACACACUAUCGUCCAGCAAGCUCGCUGUUGCUUGCCACCCACCGCCUCAGCUCGAUCGCAACGCGCUUGGCAUGGCGUCCGAGGUGUGGCUAUCGCCGGCGUCUCGCCUCCCAUCCCUCUCCAACGCACCACCUCGCUUACGCUCCAAGCCUGCCACCACAACCGCCUCUUUGCUCUCUCCCUGUCCCCGCCCUGCCCGCGCCCUGCCUGUGCUGCGUGUCCGUCGCCGCCGCCGACUUCGCGCCACCGAGCAGCAAGGCCAGGUUCAGGAGCAAGAUGACGAGGUGGUGGACAGGAACAUCCUCCCCUACUGCAGCAUCGACAGGAAGCAGAAGAAGACGCUGGGAGAGAUGGAGCAGGAGUUCCUGCAAGCCCUCCAGGCCUUCUACUAUGACCAGAAGGCCAUCAUGUCCAACGAGGAGUUCGACAACCUCAAGGAGGAGCUCAUGUGGGAGGGGAGCAGCGUCGUCAUGCUAAACGAAGAUGAGCAAAAGCUUUUGGAAGCUUCCUUGGCCUAUACCUCCGGCAACCCAAUCAUGUCUGAUGCUGAGUUCGACGAACUGAAACUUAGAUUAAAGACAGACGGCAGUGUCAUUGUGAAGGAGGGUCCCAGGUGCAGCCUAAGGACUCAUAAGGUGUACAGUGACUUGAAUGUUGACUACCUAAAGAUGUUCCUCCUAAAUGUUCCAGCCACCACCGUAGCUCUGGGACUGUUCUUUUUCAUUGAUGAAUUGACUGGUUUUGAGAUCAAUGUGUUCCAGCUGCCAGAGCCUUUCGGAUUCAUUUUCACAUGGUUUGCUGCUUUGCCCCUAAUAUUGUUCUUAGCGCAGUCAUUGACUAAGGCUAUAGUCCAGGAUUUUUUAAUCCUUAAGGGGCCAUGUCCUAAUUGUGGUACUGAAAACCUUUCCUUCUUUGGGACUAUACUGUCAGUCUCCAGUGGCGGUACAACAAACAAAGUGAAAUGUGCAAAUUGCAGUACCGAGCUGGAAUAUGACUCAAAAUCUCGGGUGAUCACACUUCCAGAAGCAUCAAAUGCAUAAACAUAGGUGACUCUACAUUUACGCCAGUAACUAUAAAUGGAUGCUCUUUGGUCUAUAUUCCAAAUGUGGGAGACAUCACACCAGCUUUGAAGUAUUGCCCGUCUCCAUUGUGAACACUCUGCAGCAUAUGUAGCAGAUAAAUGAGUGAAACUAUUUGUACUGCCUGCUCUGCAAAUUAGUAUGAACACCCCUCAAAAAGAUUUGGCCCACACUCUGGUCUCUCUGUUUGCAGCUGGGAACAGGGAGCUCCAGAGCUUGUGAAUUCUAUAGAAUAAAGGUGGUUGUCCGCACAGUAUAGCAAACUGCGAAGCCUGCAACUACUAGAGUUUGGUCUGUAGCAGGCUCAGUUGGGAAUGUGUAGCAGAGCAUGAUCCAUGGUGUGGAUGAAUUGCAGAGUACUGUGCUGUGUGUGUAGGAAGGAAAAGCUGCCGCCUGCCGAUUGUGCAGUCAGUCUAGUACGUUGUUAUGUUUGCAAGGCCCAAGUCUACUGAACGGCCACGGCCAGGCUGACUGAUGACCUGAAGCCCGGCCCACGGCCCACGGCCCACAGCCCAACUGGUUGCACAUACUGCGAGAGAAUUUCUCUCAACCAAGCGUCUGCAUCUUCCUUCUCUAGCUUGUGUCAUGGAGUAUAUGCAUAUGCAUCCCUGACCUCUUUCAUGCAUGCAUGUUUAAAUGACUUUGUUCCUCAAGCAACCUGCAAGCAGAAUUAAUACCAUUCCAAAUCGAUCGAUGAGCAGAAUCAGAAUUAGCGAGCAUUUUGCAUUGCUCCACCAAACAAAAAAAUUCGGCCACCUCAAUGCACUAGUAGGAAACGGAGUUAGUCCUGAUUGAGAACCCGAACUACGGAUUCAGGACUAAAGAGCACUUUAGAGGCUUUUUUUAUUUUUUGCACAAGUUUCUCUCCACCCUUGUGAUUCCUGGGACUCAAACUCAUGAGCAUUGUCUUGUAUAUGGGAUUAGAUGAUGCUCUGGACCGAUCUAUUAGAUCUACUGGACUUUCAAUUUAUUUUGGUCUAAAGUUAAGUAAUAUAAUUAUAUGCGUA
RNA transcript from Zea mays, 2251 nucleotides. It is a transcript of the gene named PGR5-like protein 1B chloroplastic, with no coding region annotated. NCBI's taxonomy places the organism in Eukaryota, Viridiplantae, Streptophyta, Magnoliopsida, Poales, Poaceae. The transcript has 13 exons. The record is from RefSeq and is marked provisional.